AACGAACGCUGGCGGCAGGCCUAACACAUGCAAGUCGAGCGAGAUCUUCGGGUCUAGCGGCGGACGGGUGAGUAACGCGUGGGAAUAUGCCUCUUGGUACGGAAUAGCCUCGGGAAACUGGGAGUAAUACCGUAUGUGCCCUUUGGGGGAAAGAUUUAUCGCCAAGAGAUUAGCCCGCGUUGGAUUAGGUAGUUGGUGGGGUAAUGGCCUACCAAGCCGACGAUCCAUAGCUGGUUUGUGAGGAUGAUCAGCCACACUGGGACUGAGACACGGCCCAGACUCCUACGGGAGGCAGCAGUGGGGAAUCUUAGACAAUGGGGGCAACCCUGAUCGAGCCAUGCCGCGUGAGUGAUGAAGGCCUUAGGGUUGUAAAGCUCUUUCAGCUGGGAAGAUAAUGACGGUACCAGCAGAAGAAGCCCCGGCUAACUCCGUG
Molecule: ribosomal RNA, 433 nt
Filed under: uncultured bacterium
Lineage: Bacteria
Description: partial 16S ribosomal RNA
Rfam family: Bacterial small subunit ribosomal RNA
Source: RNAcentral